This 406-nucleotide ribosomal RNA is filed under the name uncultured bacterium. RNAcentral's name for it is "partial 16S ribosomal RNA". It matches the Rfam family "Bacterial small subunit ribosomal RNA", at positions 30 to 526 of the family's 1533-position model. The record is from RNAcentral.
AUUGAACGCUGGCGGCAGGCUUAACACAUGAAAGUCGAGCGAGCGGCGGCCGGGUGAGUCAUGUCUGGGAAACUGCCUGAUGGAGGGGGAUAACUACUGGAAACGGUAGCUAAUACCGCAUACCAUCAGAUGUGCCCAGCGUGGAUUAGCUAGUAGGUGGGGUAAUGGCUCACCUAGGCGACGAUCUCUAGCUGGUCUGAGAGGAUGAUCAGCCACACUGGGACUGAGACACGGCCCAGACGCCUACGGGAGGCAGCAGUGGGGAAUAUUGCACAAUGGGAGCAAGCCUGAUGCAGCCAUGCCGCGUGUAUGAAGAAGGCCUUAGGGUUGUAAAGUACUUUCAGCGGGGAGGCGUUACCCGCAGAAGAAGCACCGGCUAACUCCGUGCCAGCAGCCCCGGUAAUAC